RNAcentral lists this ribosomal RNA (340 nucleotides) under Cormocephalus sp. WAM T127331. Its description in RNAcentral is "partial small subunit ribosomal RNA". Lineage: Eukaryota; Metazoa; Arthropoda; Chilopoda; Scolopendromorpha; Scolopendridae. The record is from RNAcentral.
UUAACUUAAAUUUAAUUCUGUAGUAUUAAAAGUUUUCUUUAAAUUAAAAAAAUUUGGCGGUAUUAAAGUCCUAUUAGAGGAACUUGUAAUUUAAUCGAUAAUCCCCGAGAAUCUUUCCUUGGUUUGUUUUCAGCUUAUAUAUCGUCGUCUUCAGAUUACAUUUGAUUAGAUGUUUUUAAAUAAAUUUUUAUAAGUCAGAUCAAGGUGUAGUUUAUGCUAAGGUUAUUAUGAGUUACAAUAGUUGUAAUUAUAUGAAUAUUGUUUUGUAAUAAACAAUUGAAGGUGGAUUUAAUUGUAAAAUUUAAUUAUUUUUUAUUUUUGAAUAGGUACUUUUAUAUGU